Molecule: ribosomal RNA, 253 nt
Filed under: uncultured bacterium
Lineage: Bacteria
Description: partial 16S ribosomal RNA
Rfam family: Bacterial small subunit ribosomal RNA
Source: RNAcentral
UACAGAGGUCUCGAGCGUUGUUCGGAUUCAUUGGGCGUAAAGGGUGCGUAGGUGGCUUGGUAAGUCGGAUGUGAAAUCCCGGGGCUCAACCCCGGAACUGCAUUCGAUACUGCCAGGCUAGAGUACUGGAGAGGAGAUUGGAAUUUACGGUGUAGCAGUGAAAUGCGUAGAUAUCGUAAGGAAGACCAGUGGCGAAGGCGGGUCUCUGGACAGUUCCUGACGCUGAGGCACGAAGGCCAGGGGAGCAAACGGG